Molecule: ribosomal RNA, 496 nt
Filed under: uncultured bacterium
Lineage: Bacteria
Description: partial 16S ribosomal RNA
Rfam family: Bacterial small subunit ribosomal RNA
Source: RNAcentral
GAUGAACGCUGGCGGCGUGCCUAAUACAUGCAAGUCGAGCGAACAGAUGAGGAGCUUGCUCCUCUGACGUUAGCGGCGGACGGGUGAGUAACACGUGGAUAACCUACCUAUAAGACUGGGAUAACUUCGGGGAACCGGAGCUAAUACCGGAUAAUAUAUUGAACCGCAUGGUUCAAUAGUGAAAGACGGUUUUGCUGUCACUUAUAGAUGGAUCCGCGCCGCAUUAGCUAGUUGGUAAGGUAACGGCUUACCAAGGCAACGAUGCGUAGCCGACCUGAGAGGGUGAUCGGCCACACUGGAACUGAGACACGGUCCAGAUUCCUACGGGAGGCAGCAGUAGGGAAUCUUCCGCAAUGGGCGAAAGCCUGACGGAGCAACGCCGCGUGAGUGAUGAAGGUCUUCGGAUCGUAAAACUCUGUUAUUAGGGAAGAACAAAUGUGUAAGUAACUAUGCACGUCUUGACGGUACCUAAUCAGAAAGCCACGGCUAACUACGU